This 1326-nucleotide ribosomal RNA is filed under the name Triticum aestivum (bread wheat). Its description in RNAcentral is "partial small subunit ribosomal RNA". The record is from RNAcentral. Lineage: Eukaryota; Viridiplantae; Streptophyta; Magnoliopsida; Poales; Poaceae.
AUGAAUGGGUCCUGCUGCAGUGGAUGCCCGGUGGAAGAAGGAGGACAAGACGCAUGCCAUCAUAAUUCUGGUCGCUGCGGCGAUCGCUCUGCUUCUUGUGGUGCUGUUGAUUAUCCAUCCGUGGAAGAAGUAGAGAAGACUAGUCAUUUGCCGGGUCAGGUUUCCGAUUAUCGCUCCCUCACCCUCCUAUCGCUCCAGGCUCCCUCGAUUGCCCCCUCCAGGGCGAUCAAGGGGGCAACCCUAGCGCCCCGGCCGCCGCACCCUCCCCCCUCUCCUCCACCUCAUCGUCCCCAGAGACGUGCGCCGGCUAAGCCCGGAGUCCGCCAAACCCUCAAGUCGAUCUUGAAGAACUUCAUGUAUAACUUCAACAAAUUGUGUGUAUGGGUUCAAACAGUUCCGAUUCCAAACAGUUUAACCCAUGGGUCGUGCCCAGGUUGUGAGAACUGUUUAGGCCUGUUUGCUCCACGGCUGCCCGUAACAGCGGACGUGGUUGGUGCGGGGUUGCGCGCAAGGUGUUUGUUGAAAAGCAAAGCACAAGUAAGCCAUGAGGGACUUCACAUCCAGAUCGCGGACAGGGCGUCGUCCUCGAGCAGCGCUGGCAAGGGCGUUGCGCGGAACCUGGUCACCUGCCUCUACCGGACGCAGUUCGCCGGCCGGCCCCGCGUCAUCUGGGUCACCUGGAGCAAUGUCGGCCUUGUAGAGGCUCUGGACGCCAAUGCUGAGGCCCUGCCCCAUACACGUCGGCGUCCAGAGCCCUGGCGUCCAGAGCCUCUACAAGGACCUGUCGGCUGCCAGGUUCGGCGCGGGGACAGAGCCGCUGGAAGGCUUCUACGUGGCGCUCGGCGGAUGGAGUUACGGCUCCUCCUCUUGCACGAGGCGUCCCUACAGAGGUCGCGGAGGCCGCCAGACUUUGACUGGUUGGUCGGCUUCCCGGGCGCCUGGAUGAACCUGCCGUUGGCCACCGCCGGGCUGUCCACGAUGUGCACGGCACGACGCUUGCCCUCCAGGUCGCGCGGUCGUACACGCGCACCCACCCUCGCUGCCGUCCCUCGCACUGCAUCUUUGCUCAUUUCCUUGGUUUGCUUCAUGUGUUCUGUGCGUCGAGACCGGAGCUACCGGAGGUGCCGGUGGACACAUACUGGAGCGAAUGGAGUACUGACGGCCUUCUGGGCUCUGUCCGUCUGUGGCAGCAGCCACCUGGUUCUUAUUUAUAGGCAUCACCACUUGCUGUUGCUUUGCCGUCGUAGCUCUUGCCACCGCACUAUCACUCUGCUCCUCUGCUGCUCCUAUGUUCUGCAGUGGGUGAGGAGGUGGGCUCGCCAUUGA